GCCUACGGGGGGCAGCAGUGGGGAAUAUUGCACAAUGGAGGAAACUCUGAUGCAGCAACGCCGCGUGGAGGAUGACACAUUUCGGUGCGUAAACUCCUUUUAUAUGGGAAGAUAAUGACGGUACCAUAUGAAUAAGCACCGGCUAACUCCGUGCCAGCAGCCGCGGUAAUACGGAGGGUGCAAGCGUUACUCGGAAUCACUGGGCGUAAAGCGCGCGCAGGCGGCCUUUUAAGUUGGAUGUGAAAGCCUAUGGCUCAACCAUAGAACUGCAUCCAAAACUAUUAGGCUAGAGUGUGGGAGAGGAAGAUGGAAUUAGUUGUGUAGGGGUAAAAUCCGUAGAGAUAACUAGGAAUACCAAAAGCGAAGGCAAUCUUCUGGAACACUACUGACGCUGAGGCGCGAAAGCGUGGGGAGCAAACAGGAUUAGAAACCCGCGU
RNAcentral lists this ribosomal RNA (437 nucleotides) under uncultured bacterium. RNAcentral's name for it is "bacterial SSU rRNA". It matches the Rfam family "Bacterial small subunit ribosomal RNA", at positions 337 to 791 of the family's 1533-position model. The record is from RNAcentral.